AAAAAAAAAAAAAAAAAUUCAAAGAAAAAUACAUAUCAUCAUCCAUCAAGCAUAUCAGCAUCCCUAGAACAGGAAGCACAUGAUAACAGCCAACGUGGAAACCGAAAUACCAGCCAAGAGCUUAGAAGAUGAAGAUCCUGGUGGAGGAGGACGGGCGUUGGGGCCCAAUGCCCCGGGAGUUGAAGGGCUUGUGGGGGCACCUGCUGGGGCAUCUGGUGGGCAAAUGGCGGGGGUGUUUGUGGGUGAAGGAGUGGUUGGCGGUGGGGACAGUCUUGGGGUAGUGGAGGGCGGUGGUGAGGCGCCUGGCGUGCCUCCUGAUGAUGAGACAGUGAUGGCUAGUUUCUGGCCUAGCUGACAAUGCUGAGAAAAUGUACAGAUGUAGUAGUGGUCGCCAGCAGAGUCCAGGGUGAAGUUGACCGGGCCGGUGGUAAUUACGUCUCCGAUAGGAUUUGAAGUAGAGCAUGCAUCGAAGGAUGUCUUCUGGACUCGGAGUACAUCGUGCUUGUUGGUUUCGAAGUUGAAUGUUAGGAUAUCUCCAACUGCGAAAUUCUUGCCAUUAGCCCAUUCUGUGUAAGCUUGAGCGCCACCUUGUAGAAUAGUCCAACCUGAGUUAUCCCCCACCACAUGCACCGUCUGUGCCGCCGCACAUUGCAACAAAACCACCACUACAAACCCAAAAGCCACGCCAAUAAACCUUGCCAUUUUCUUUAUAUUUUUUCCUCUCUUUAAAUAUCCUUCUCUUAGUUAAUUUCUGGUAUAUGAAGCAGCUACUUGA
Molecule: unclassified non-coding RNA, 775 nt
Filed under: Hevea brasiliensis (rubber tree)
Lineage: Eukaryota; Viridiplantae; Streptophyta; Magnoliopsida; Malpighiales; Euphorbiaceae
Source: RNAcentral